CCUACGGGAGGCAGCAGUGAGGAAUAUUGGUCAAUGGGCGUAAGGCUGAACCAGCCAAGUCGCGUGAAGGAUGACGGCCCUACGGGUUGUAAACUUCUUUUAUACGGGAAUAAAGGUAUCCACGUGUGGAUAUUUGCAUGUACCCUAUGAAUAAGCAUCGGCUAACUCCGUGCCAGCAGCCGCGGUAAUACGGAGGAUGUGAGCGUUAUCCGGAUUUAUUGGGUUUAAAGGGUGCGUAGGUUGUUUUUUAAGUCAGCGGUGAAAGGUUGUGGCUCAACCAUAAAAUUGCCGUUGAAACUGGAAGGCUUGAGUCUGUUUGAGGCAGGCGGAAUGCGUGGUGUAGCGGUGAAAUGCAUAGAUAUCACGAAGAACUCCGAUUGCGAAGGCAGCUUACUAAGCCAUAACUGACACUGAAGCACGAAAGCGUGGGGAUCAAACAGGAUUAGAUACCCUUGUAGUC
This 460-nucleotide ribosomal RNA is filed under the name uncultured bacterium. RNAcentral's name for it is "partial 16S ribosomal RNA". It matches the Rfam family "Bacterial small subunit ribosomal RNA", at positions 338 to 795 of the family's 1533-position model. The record is from RNAcentral.